ACUCUCUGGUUUCCUUGACCAGCAGACCUGAACACUGAUCUGAGUGGCUAUAAAAAGGAGGAAACAUAUCAUUGAAACUGGCAAACAAUGUUCUGACACAGAAGUUAGUUUCAAACAAAC
RNAcentral lists this small nucleolar RNA (120 nucleotides) under Echinops telfairi (small Madagascar hedgehog). RNAcentral describes it as "Small nucleolar RNA SNORA61 (ENSETEG00000024938.1)". Lineage: Eukaryota; Metazoa; Chordata; Mammalia; Afrosoricida; Tenrecidae. The record is from RNAcentral.